Molecule: ribosomal RNA, 1355 nt
Filed under: uncultured bacterium
Lineage: Bacteria
Description: bacterial SSU rRNA
Rfam family: Bacterial small subunit ribosomal RNA
Source: RNAcentral
AUUGAACGCUGGCGGCAGGCUUAACACAUGCAAGUCGAACGAUGACUCUCUAGCUUGCUAGAGAAGAUUAGUGGCGGACGGGUGAGUAACAUUUAGGAAUCUGCCUAGUAGUGGGGGAUAGCUCGGGGAAACUCGAAUUAAUACCGCAUACGACCUACGGGUGAAAGGGGGCGCAAGCUCUUGCUAUUAGAUGAGCCUAAAUCAGAUUAGCUAGUUGGUGGGGUAAAGGCCUACCAAGGCGACGAUCUGUAACUGGUCUGAGAGGAUGAUCAGUCACACCGGAACUGAGACACGGUCCGGACUCCUACGGGAGGCAGCAGUGGGGAAUAUUGGACAAUGGGGGCAACCCUGAUCCAGCCAUGCCGCGUGUGUGAAGAAGGCCUUUUGGUUGUAAAGCACUUUAAGCAGGGAGGAGAGGCUAAUGGUUAAUACCCAUUAGAUUAGACGUUACCUGCAGAAUAAGCACCGGCUAACUCUGUGCCAGCAGCCGCGGUAAUACAGAGGGUGCGAGCGUUAAUCGGAAUUACUGGGCGUAAAGCGAGUGUAGGUGGCUCAUUAAGUCACAUGUGAAAUCCCCGGGCUUAACCUGGGAACUGCAUGUGAUACUGGUGGUGCUAGAAUAUGUGAGAGGGAAGUAGAAUUCCAGGUGUAGCGGUGAAAUGCGUAGAGAUCUGGAGGAAUACCGAUGGCGAAGGCAGCUUCCUGGCAUAAUAUUGACACUGAGAUUCGAAAGCGUGGGUAGCAAACAGGAUUAGAUACCCUGGUAGUCCACGCCGUAAACGAUGUCUACUAGCCGUUGGGGUCCUUGAGACUUUAGUGGCGCAGUUAACGCGAUAAGUAGACCGCCUGGGGAGUACGGCCGCAAGGUUAAAACUCAAAUGAAUUGACGGGGGCCCGCACAAGCGGUGGAGCAUGUGGUUUAAUUCGAUGCAACGCGAAGAACCUUACCUGGUCUUGACAUAGUGAGAAUCCUGCAGAGAUGCGGGAGUGCCUUCGGGAAUUCACAUACAGGUGCUGCAUGGCUGUCGUCAGCUCGUGUCGUGAGAUGUUGGGUUAAGUCCCGCAACGAGCGCAACCCUUUUCCUUAUUUGCCAGCGGGUUAAGCCGGGAACUUUAAGGAUACUGCCAGUGACAAACUGGAGGAAGGCGGGGACGACGUCAAGUCAUCAUGGCCCUUACGACCAGGGCUACACACGUGCUACAAUGGUAGGUACAGAGGGUUGCUACACAGCGAUGUGAUGCUAAUCUCAAAAAGCCUAUCGUAGUCCGGAUUGGAGUCUACAACUCGACUCCAUGAAGUCGGAAUCGCUAGUAAUCGCAGAUCAGAAUGCUGCGGUGAAUACGUUCCCGGGCCU